UGGGGAAUAUUGGGCAAUGGGCGCAAGCCUGACCCAGCAACGCCGCGUGAGGGAAGAAGGCUUUCGGGUUGUAAACCUCUGUCCUUGGUGACGAAACAAAUGACGGUAGCCAAGGAGGAAGCCCCGGCUAACUACGUGCCAGCAGCCGCGGUAAUACGUAGGGGGCGAGCGUUGUCCGGAAUUACUGGGCGUAAAGGGUGCGUAGGUGGCCUUUUAAGUUGGAUGUGAAAUACCCGGGCUUAACUUGGGGGGUGCAGUUAAUACUGGAGGGCUAGAGUGCAGUAGAGGAAAGGGGAAUUCCGAGUGUAGCGGUGAAAUGCGUAGAUAUUAGGAGGAACACCAGUGGCGAAGGCGGCUUUCUGGACUGUAACUGACACUGAGGGACGAAAGCGUGGGGAGCAAACA
This 405-nucleotide ribosomal RNA is filed under the name uncultured prokaryote. Its description in RNAcentral is "bacterial SSU rRNA". It matches the Rfam family "Bacterial small subunit ribosomal RNA", at positions 355 to 774 of the family's 1533-position model. The record is from RNAcentral.